GACGAACGCUGGCGGCGUGCUUAACACAUGCAAGUCGAACGGAAAGGCCCUGCUUUUGUUGGGUGCUCGAGUGGCGAACGGGUGAGUAACACGUGAGUAACCUGCCCUGGACUUUGGGAUAACUUCAGGAAACUGGGGCUAAUACCGGAUAGGAGCUCCUGCUGCAUGGUGGGGGUGGGAGAGUUUCGGCGGUUGGGGUUGGACUCGCGGCUUCUCAGUUUGUUGGUGGGGUAGUGGCUUACCAAGGCUUUGACGGGUCGCCGGCCUGAGAGGGUGACCGGCCAAAUGGGGAUGGGGAUACGGCCCGGACUCCUCCGGGAGCAAGAAGGGGGGAAUAUUGCACAAUGGGCGGAAGCCUGAUGCAGCAACGCCGCGUGGGGGAGGACGGCCUUCGGGUUGUAAACCGCUUCCGCCUGGGACGAAGCGUGAGUGACGGUAACGGGUAAAGAAGCACCGGCUAACUACGUG
This 468-nucleotide ribosomal RNA is filed under the name uncultured bacterium. Its description in RNAcentral is "partial 16S ribosomal RNA". It matches the Rfam family "Bacterial small subunit ribosomal RNA", at positions 28 to 507 of the family's 1533-position model. The record is from RNAcentral.